Molecule: transfer RNA, 76 nt
Filed under: Chloroflexota bacterium
Lineage: Bacteria; Bacillati; Chloroflexota
Also listed under: 3 other names
Description: tRNA-Ala
Rfam family: tRNA
About the family: Transfer RNA (tRNA) molecules are approximately 80 nucleotides in length.
Source: RNAcentral
GGGGCUGUAGCUCAAUCGGGAGAGCGUUUGACUGGCAGUCAAAAGGUAGAGGGUUCGAAUCCCUCCAGCUCCACCA